RNAcentral lists this unclassified non-coding RNA (229 nucleotides) under Pochonia chlamydosporia. RNAcentral describes it as "partial internal transcribed spacer region". The stretch from base 1 to 46 matches the Rfam family "Eukaryotic small subunit ribosomal RNA", at positions 1786 to 1831 of the family's 1831-position model. The record is from RNAcentral. Lineage: Eukaryota; Fungi; Ascomycota; Sordariomycetes; Hypocreales; Clavicipitaceae.
AAGUCGUAACAAGGUCUCCGUUGGUGAACCAGCGGAGGGAUCAUUACCGAGUUUUCAACUCCCAAACCCCAUGUGAACUUAUACCAUUUACAACCGUUGCUUCGGCGGGUUCUCGCCCCGGGCUUUACACCCCGGAACCAGGCGGCCCGCCGGGGGACCCAAACCGACACAAGAUACGUAAUGCUGAACAACUCUUAGCAAUGGAUAUCUUGGUUCUCGUAACGAUGAA